This 373-nucleotide ribosomal RNA is filed under the name uncultured bacterium. RNAcentral describes it as "bacterial SSU rRNA". It matches the Rfam family "Bacterial small subunit ribosomal RNA", at positions 525 to 896 of the family's 1533-position model. The record is from RNAcentral.
ACAGAGGUGGCGAGCGUUGUUCGGAUUUAUUGGGCGUAAAGCGAACGCAGGUGGUUUGGUAAGUCAGGGGUGAAAGACCACAGCUUAACUGUGGCACUGCCUUUGAUACUGCCUUUCUAGAGUGCAUGAGGGGGAAGCGGAAUUCCGAGUGUAGAGGUGAAAUUCGUAGAUAUUCGGAGGAACACCGGUGGCGAAGGCGGCUUCCUGGCAUGUAACUGACACUCAUGUUCGAAAGCGUGGGUAGCAAACAGGAUUAGAUACCCUGGUAGUCCACGCCCUAAACGAUGGGCACUAGGUGUGGGAGGUAUCGACCCCUUCCGUGCCGCAGCUAACGCAUUAAGUGCCCCGCCUGGGGAGUACGGCCGCAAGGUUG